Non-coding RNA from Podarcis lilfordi (Lilford's wall lizard), 174 nucleotides. The record is from the annotation of a GenBank genome assembly. NCBI's taxonomy places the organism in Eukaryota, Metazoa, Chordata, Lepidosauria, Squamata, Lacertidae.
UUCCUCAUGUUUAGUUAGAAUCUCCUUUCUUGUAACUUGAAGUCAUUGGUUUGAGUCCUACCCUCCAGAGCAGAAGAAAACAAGCUUGCUCCACCUUGAGAUAUUUGAAGAUGGCUAACAUAUCUGCUCUCAGUCUCAUCUUUUCCAGGCUAAACAUGCCCAACUCCUUCAACC